UCUACCUGCUUGUCAGUCCCCCUAGGAAGGCUCCUACUCUAAUCUGUUAAGAUACAGCUGCUAUAUAGCAAACCAAGGAGAAGUCAGGGAGGGAUCUGGACUAAUUUAAGAACAGCCCAAUUAUAUCAAAAUCAUACAUUGGUUCUGAGCAUGCUCAGAGCUGUGAAAGUAAAAUGCUGGACUAGAGCUUGGAAGUAAUUCAUUACUUUUUUGAGGAAUGAGCGGUCAGACCUACAUCUGAAGCACUUUACCAGCUGCAACUGGAAUCUGAAGAAAGGCAUGUGAUGACUAGGGAGAGAGCCUUUGUGGUGGUAGCCCCUUGUCUGUGAAAUGCCCUUCCCAUGAAGGCUUGCCUAGUAUUCACUUUACUAUCAAUUUGGUGCCAGGUGCCUUUUUUGCUCAAGAAUUCCCAAUAAACCAAAACAGUGUUAUUCAUCUAAAGUGGUCCCUUGCUGAAGUCUAUAAAGAAGGUGCCCAGAUGUAAAUUUGAUGAGGACAAGAUAUAGCCUCCCCCUCCUGCAAAAAAUAAGUUGCUUGGUGGGGUUUUUUUAAUAACACCAUCUGUCACUGUAGCACAUGCCAAACUGCAAUAUUUAUUUUGUCACUUAAGGGAAUAGUAUGAUAUUUAGGAUUAUAAAUAACAUUUUUCAUUGCUGUGCUCAUGCCCUUAGUUUUAUAGAUGGUGCCUGAACUCCAGAAACCAGCACUUCAUUUCUGUCAUUCAAGAUCCCUAGCAAUUCUGUUUAGAUAAUUAAGAAUAAUACAUCUUCUACAUUUUAUUGUUACUGUUCAUACAUUUCAAUAAAAAUAUUUUUUAAAGAA
Molecule: long non-coding RNA, 822 nt
Organism: Rhineura floridana
Lineage: Eukaryota; Metazoa; Chordata; Lepidosauria; Squamata; Rhineuridae
Exons: 4
Source: RefSeq, a predicted model, not a curated record